AUUGAACGCUGGCGGCAUGCCUUACACAUGCAAGUCGAACGGCAGCACGGGUGCUUGCACCUGGUGGCGAGUGGCGAACGGGUGAGUAAUACAUCGGAACAUGUCCUGUAGUGGGGGAUAGCCCGGCGAAAGCCGGAUUAAUACCGCAUACGAUCUGCGGAUGAAAGCGGGGGACCUUCGGGCCUCGCGCUAUAGGGUUGGCCGAUAGCUGAUUAGCUAGUUGGUGGGGUAAAGGCCUACCAAGGCGACGAUCAGUAGCUGGUCUGAGAGGACGACCAGCCACACUGGGACUGAGACACGGCCCAGACUCCUACGGGAGGCAGCAGUGGGGAAUUUUGGACAAUGGGCGAAAGCCUGAUCCAGCAAUGCCGCGUGUGUGAAGAAGGCCUUCGGGUUGUAAAGCACUUUUGUCCGGAAAGAAAUCCUUGGCUCUAAUACAGUCGGGGGAUGACGGUACCGGAAGAAUAAGCACCGGCUAACUACGUG
This 486-nucleotide ribosomal RNA is filed under the name uncultured bacterium. RNAcentral's name for it is "partial 16S ribosomal RNA". It matches the Rfam family "Bacterial small subunit ribosomal RNA", at positions 30 to 507 of the family's 1533-position model. The record is from RNAcentral.